GGUCGAUGGCUUAGUGGUUAAGGCGUUCGACUUUUAGUCUCCAGAACACUGGUUCGAACUCUAAUCCAGCUA
Molecule: transfer RNA, 72 nt
Filed under: Schistosoma mansoni
Lineage: Eukaryota; Metazoa; Platyhelminthes; Trematoda; Strigeidida; Schistosomatidae
Source: RNAcentral